RNAcentral lists this ribosomal RNA (253 nucleotides) under uncultured bacterium. RNAcentral's name for it is "partial 16S ribosomal RNA". It matches the Rfam family "Bacterial small subunit ribosomal RNA", at positions 524 to 776 of the family's 1533-position model. The record is from RNAcentral.
UACGUAGGGGGCAAGCGUUGUCCGGAUUUAUUGGGCGUAAAGAGCGUGUAGGCGGCCGUACAGGUCAGCUGUGAAAACUCGAGGCUCAACCUCGAGACGUCGGUUGAAACCGUACGGCUAGAGUCCGGAAGAGGAGAGCGGAAUUCCCGGUGUAGCGGUGAAAUGCGCAGAUAUCGGGAAGAACACCCGUGGCGAAGGCGGCUCUCUGGGACGGUACUGACGCUGAGACGCGAAAGCGUGGGGAGCGAACAGG